UACGUAGGGAGCAAGCGUUGUCCGGAAUCAUUGGGCGUAAAGCGCGCGUAGGCGGCCCCGUAAGUCCGCUGUGAAAGUCAAAGGCUCAACCUUUGAAAGCCGGUGGAUACUGUGGGGCUAGAGUCCGGAAGAGGCGAGUGGAAUUCCUGGUGUAGCGGUGAAAUGCGUGGAUAUCGGGAGGAACACCUGUGGCGAAAGCGGCUCACUGGACCACAACUGACGCUGAGGCGCGAAAGCUAGGGGAGCAAACAGG
RNAcentral lists this ribosomal RNA (253 nucleotides) under uncultured bacterium. RNAcentral describes it as "partial 16S ribosomal RNA". It matches the Rfam family "Bacterial small subunit ribosomal RNA", at positions 524 to 776 of the family's 1533-position model. The record is from RNAcentral.